This 545-nucleotide ribosomal RNA is filed under the name uncultured Anaplasma sp. RNAcentral's name for it is "bacterial SSU rRNA". It matches the Rfam family "Bacterial small subunit ribosomal RNA", at positions 65 to 637 of the family's 1533-position model. Lineage: Bacteria; Pseudomonadati; Pseudomonadota; Alphaproteobacteria; Rickettsiales; Anaplasmataceae. The record is from RNAcentral.
AACGGAUUAUUCUUUAUAGCUUGCUACGAAAAUAAUUAGUGGCAGACGGGUGAGUAAUGCAUAGGAAUCUACCUAGUAGUAUAGGAUAGCCACUAGAAAUGGUGGGUAAUACUGUAUAAUCCCUGCGGGGGAAAGAUUUAUCGCUACAUGAUGAGCCUAUGUUAGAUUAGCUAGUUGGUAGGGUAAAGGCCUACCAAGGCGAUGAUCUAUAGCUGGUCUGAGAGGAUGAUCAGCCACACUGGAACUGAGAUACGGUCCAGACUCCUACGGGAGGCAGCAGUGGGGAAUAUUGGACAAUGGGCGCAAGCCUGAUCCAGCUAUGCCGCGUGAGUGAGGAAGGCCUUAGGGUUGUAAAACUCUUCCAGUAGGGAAGAUAAUGACGGUACCUACAGAAGAAGUCCCGGCAAACUCCGUGCCAGCAGCCGCGGUAAUACGGAGGGGGCAAGCGUUGUUCGGAAUUAUUGGGCGUAAAGGGCAUGUAGGCGGUUCGGUAAGUUAAAGGUGAAAUGCCAGGGCUUAACCCUGGAGCUGCUUUUAAUACUGCC